RNAcentral lists this ribosomal RNA (253 nucleotides) under uncultured bacterium. Its description in RNAcentral is "partial 16S ribosomal RNA". It matches the Rfam family "Bacterial small subunit ribosomal RNA", at positions 524 to 776 of the family's 1533-position model. The record is from RNAcentral.
UACGGAGGGGAGCUAGCGUUGUUCGGAAUCACUGGGCGUAAAGGGUGCGUAGGCGGGUCUUUAAGUCAGGGGUGAAAUCCUGGAGCUCAACUCCAGAACUGCCUUUGAUACUGAGGAUCUUGAGUUCGGGAGAGGUGAGUGAACUGCGAGUGUAGAGGUGAAAUUCGUAGAUAUUCGCAAGAACACCAGUGGCGAAGGCGGCUCACUGGUCCGAUACUGACGCUGAGGCACGAAAGCGUGGGGAGCAAACAGG